AACGCGAAGAACCUUACCUGGGUUUGACAUCCUUUGAAUACAGUAGAGAUAUUGUAGGCUCGCAAGAGACAAAGAGACAGGUGCUGCAUGGCUGUCGUCAGCUCGUGUUGUGAAAUGUUGGGUUAAGUCCCGCAACGAGCGCAACCCUUGUCUUUGGUUGCUAACAUUUAAGGUGAGCACUCCAGAGAGACUGCCGUCGUUAAGACGGAGGAAGGUGGGGAUGACGUCAAGUCCUCAUGGCCUUUAUAUCCAGGGCGACACACGUGAUACAAUGGUAGGUACAGAGGGAUGCAAGGUAGCGAUACUAAGCAAAUCCCAAAAAGCCUAUCUCAGUUCGGAUUGGAGUCUGCAACUCGACUCCAUGAAGCUGGAAUCGCUAGUAAUCGCGGAUCAGCACGCCGCGGUGAAUACGUUCCCGGGCCUUGUACACACCGCUCGUC
This 440-nucleotide ribosomal RNA is filed under the name uncultured bacterium. RNAcentral describes it as "bacterial SSU rRNA". It matches the Rfam family "Bacterial small subunit ribosomal RNA", at positions 958 to 1398 of the family's 1533-position model. The record is from RNAcentral.